CCCUUAGAUGUCCUGGGCCGCACGCGCGCUACACUGAGUGUCUGAGAUACGAGUCUGCCUGGUCCGGCAAGGUCUAGGUAAUCGCUAAAAGACACAUCAUGCUUGGGAUAGAUUAUUGCAAAUAUUAAUCUUGAACGAGGAAUUCCUAGUAAGCGCAAGUCAACAGCUCGCGUUGAUCACGUCCCUGCCCUUUGUACACACCGCCCGUCGCUACUACUGAUUGGAUGUUUAAGCGAGGUUCUCGAACUGCUAGCGACUUAGCUUCGGUGAGGUCGCAGUGUGGGAAGUGAACCUAGCUUUGGUGUCUAGAGGAAGUAAAAGUCGUAACA
Molecule: ribosomal RNA, 329 nt
Filed under: uncultured eukaryote
Lineage: Eukaryota
Description: partial 18S ribosomal RNA
Rfam family: Eukaryotic small subunit ribosomal RNA
Source: RNAcentral